RNAcentral lists this ribosomal RNA (492 nucleotides) under uncultured bacterium. RNAcentral's name for it is "bacterial SSU rRNA". It matches the Rfam family "Bacterial small subunit ribosomal RNA", at positions 903 to 1397 of the family's 1533-position model. The record is from RNAcentral.
AAAGGAAUAGACGGGGGCCCGCACAAGCAGUGGAGUAUGUGGUUUAAUUCGAAGCAACGCGAAGAACCUUACCAGGGCUUGACAUCCCUUGACGCAUGUAGAGAUACAUGUUCUCUUCGGAGCAAGGAGACAGGUGGUGCAUGGUUGUCGUCAGCUCGUGUCGUGAGAUGUUGGGUUAAGUCCCGCAACGAGCGCAACCCCUGUUGUUAGUUGCCAGCAAGUAAAGUUGGGCACUCUAGCAAGACUGCCGGUGACAAAUCGGAGGAAGGUGGGGACGACGUCAAAUCAUCAUGCCCCUUAUGUCCUGGGCUACACACGUACUACAAUGGCUACUACAGCAGGAAGCGAAGCCGCGAGGCGGAGCGGAUCCCGAAAAGUAGCCCCAGUUCAGAUUGCAGGCUGCAACUCGCCUGCAUGAAGUCGGAAUUGCUAGUAAUGGCAGGUCAGCAUACUGCCGUGAAUACGUUCCCGGGCCUUGUACACACCGCCCGU